GUCACCGCAGCCUCCUGGGUUACCACUGUCGCUGGAUGCCUAGCUUUGCACAGUUUCAUUUGACACAACCAAGAGAGCCGGUGCUUAUUCCUCGGGCUCAUACGCGCAUGCCAAACCACCGAUCGUGGGUCCCCCCCUCACACGUCACACCCCGUCACUGUCUCACACGUGAUGGGUGUGAGCUAGGUCGUGGCUCGUGGGCUUGAGGCUCGACCCCGCUGCUGCACCACGCUUCAUGCCACGUAAAGCCAGCCUGCUCACGCUCACCCACGUCCCUCCUGCCACCCCCACUUUGCUGUUGGUGAUGGUGGCGGCGGUGGUGAUGAUGGAAUGAAAGACACAAAAUAAUACGGGGCGCAACAGAAGAGUAAAAAGUACCUCACGGCAAGCUCAAAAACACCUUCGCUUCAUGGCCAGCAAGAAGUCAAAUGUGGCACGCACUUCUUAGUACGUAGCCCCUGUCCACCUAGCAGUAAGCAGGUACGGGAUGUAACCUGAGGAGCUGUGACCUCGCUGUCCCGGUGUGUGGUGUGUGAGUGGUUUCAGUCCUACCUAAAGAUCUGGCUGAGCUCUUUUCGCAGGAUAGGUGAAUGACACACACACACACACACACACAAAUACACACACACACACACACACACACA
Molecule: long non-coding RNA, 644 nt
Organism: Scylla paramamosain (green mud crab)
Lineage: Eukaryota; Metazoa; Arthropoda; Malacostraca; Decapoda; Portunidae
Exons: 3
Source: RefSeq, a predicted model, not a curated record